RNAcentral lists this ribosomal RNA (478 nucleotides) under uncultured bacterium. Its description in RNAcentral is "partial 16S ribosomal RNA". It matches the Rfam family "Bacterial small subunit ribosomal RNA", at positions 28 to 523 of the family's 1533-position model. The record is from RNAcentral.
GACGAACGCUGGCGGCGUGCUUAACACAUGCAAGUCGAACGGUAAGGCCCUUCGGGGUACACGAGUGGCGAACGGGUGAGUAACACGUGGGUGAUCUGCCCUGCACUUCGGGAUAAGCCUGGGAAACUGGGUCUAAUACCGGAUAGGACCACUGCCUGCAUGGGUGGUGGUGGAAAGCCUUUGCGGUGUGGGAUGGGCCCGCGGCCUAUCAGCUUGUUGGUGGGGUGAUGGCCUACCAAGGCGACGACGGGUAGCCGGCCUGAGAGGGUGAACGGCCACACGGGGAGGGAGAUACGGCACAGACUCCUACGGGAGGCAGCAGUGGGGAAUAUUGCACAAGGGGCGCAAGCCUGAUGCAGCGACGCCGCGUGAGGGAUGACGGCCUUCGGGUUGUAAACCUCUUUCAGCACCGACGAAGCGCAAGUGACGGUAGGUGCAGAAGAAGGACCGGCCAACUACGUGCCAGCCGCCGCGGUAA